GCCGUCGUAGCUCAGUUGGCAGAGCGCGCGCAUGGUAAGCGCGAGGUCGCCGGUUCGAUCCCGGCCGAUGGCU
RNAcentral lists this transfer RNA (73 nucleotides) under Micromonospora sp. C51. RNAcentral's name for it is "tRNA-Thr". It matches the Rfam family "tRNA". From Rfam's summary of the family: Transfer RNA (tRNA) molecules are approximately 80 nucleotides in length. Lineage: Bacteria; Bacillati; Actinomycetota; Actinomycetes; Micromonosporales; Micromonosporaceae. The record is from RNAcentral.